RNAcentral lists this transfer-messenger RNA (355 nucleotides) under Lysobacteraceae. RNAcentral describes it as "Thermomonas sp011302915 Standard tmRNA". It matches the Rfam family "transfer-messenger RNA". Rfam says of the family: Bacterial tmRNA, also known as 10Sa RNA or SsrA, is named for its dual tRNA and mRNA-like properties. Its role is to liberate the mRNA from a stalled ribosome. To accomplish this part of the tmRNA is used as a reading frame that ends in a translation stop signal. RNAcentral also lists the same sequence under 1 other name. The record is from RNAcentral. Lineage: Bacteria; Pseudomonadati; Pseudomonadota; Gammaproteobacteria; Lysobacterales.
GGGGGUGCACUGGCUUCGACGGGGGUCGCGAAAUCGUCUGGCGCAUGCCGAGGGGGUAGCUUUCCUCGUUAAUCCAGCUGCAAAAACCCAGACGCCAACGACGACGUCUACGCUCUCGCCGCUUAAGGCGUAAGCCCCGAACCCACUUGUGCCCGUGCUCGUGGAUGUAGGGUCAUUAUCACGGAACCGGCCCUGGCGGCGACCCGCCAACCAGCGGCUUAACCAAAGCGGGUGUGGAUGACGGUGUGCCUCGCACGUUGUGUUGCCGUCAUCCGAGAUCGAACAACGAGCUAAGCAUGUAGUGCCGGGCAUGGAGUGCCUUCGGACGCGGGUUCGAUUCCCGCCACCUCCACCA